RNAcentral lists this transfer RNA (62 nucleotides) under Holostephanus sp. FJ-2023. RNAcentral's name for it is "tRNA-Tyr". The record is from RNAcentral. Lineage: Eukaryota; Metazoa; Platyhelminthes; Trematoda; Diplostomida; Cyathocotylidae.
AUCGGUUUAGCAUAAAUAAAUGUGUGGGAUUGUAAAUCCUAAGAUGGUUUGACCAGCCGGGA